UGCUGUGAUAAAAUAUUGUGAC
RNAcentral lists this non-coding RNA (22 nucleotides) under Rattus norvegicus (Norway rat). Lineage: Eukaryota; Metazoa; Chordata; Mammalia; Rodentia; Muridae. The record is from RNAcentral.